GGGGAUUUAGCUCAACGGUAGAGCGCUUGCCUAGCAAGCACAAGGCCCUGGGUUCGGUCCCCAGCUCCG
Non-coding RNA from Rattus norvegicus (Norway rat), 69 nucleotides. The record is from Rfam. Lineage: Eukaryota; Metazoa; Chordata; Mammalia; Rodentia; Muridae.